This 247-nucleotide ribosomal RNA is filed under the name Fusarium oxysporum. RNAcentral describes it as "partial large subunit ribosomal RNA". It matches the Rfam family "Eukaryotic large subunit ribosomal RNA", at positions 398 to 664 of the family's 3401-position model. The record is from RNAcentral. Lineage: Eukaryota; Fungi; Ascomycota; Sordariomycetes; Hypocreales; Nectriaceae.
CGUGAAAUUGUUGAAAGGGAAGCGUUUAUGACCAGACCUGGGCUUGGUUAAUCAUCUGGGGUUCUCCCCAGUGCACUUUUCCAGUCCAGGCCAGCAUCAGUUUUCCCCGGGGGAUAAAGGCGGCGGGAAUGUGGCUCUCUUCGGGGAGUGUUAUAGCCCGUCGUGUAAUUCCCUGGGGGGGACUGAGGUUCGCGCAUCUGCAAGGAUGCUGGCGUAAUGGUCAUCAACGACCCGUCUUGAAACACGG